GACGAACGCUGGCGGCGUGCCUAAUACAUGCAAGUAGAACGCUGAAGAGAGGAGCUUGCUCUUCUUGGAUGAGUUGCGAACGGGUGAGUAACGCGUAGGCAACCUGCCUUGUAGCGGGGGAUAACUAUUGGAAACGAUAGCUAAUACCGCAUAACAAUGGAUGACACAUGUCAUUUAUUUGAAAGGGGCAAUUGCUCCACUACAAGAUGGACCUGCGUUGUAUUAGCUAGUAGGUGAGGUAAUGGCUCACCUAGGCGACGAUACAUAGCCGACCUGAGAGGGUGAUCGGCCACACUGGGACUGAGACACGGCCCAGACUCCUACGGGAGGCAGCAGUAGGGAAGCUUCGGCAAUGGGGGCAACCCUGACCGAGCAACGCCGCGUGAGUGAAGAAGGGUUUCGGAUCGUAAAGCUCUGUUGUAAGUCAAGAACGGGUGUGAGAGUGGAAAGUUCACACUGUGACGGUAGCUUACCAGAAAGGGACGGCUAACUACGUG
RNAcentral lists this ribosomal RNA (497 nucleotides) under uncultured bacterium. RNAcentral describes it as "partial 16S ribosomal RNA". It matches the Rfam family "Bacterial small subunit ribosomal RNA", at positions 28 to 507 of the family's 1533-position model. The record is from RNAcentral.